RNAcentral lists this ribosomal RNA (310 nucleotides) under Listeria monocytogenes. Its description in RNAcentral is "bacterial LSU rRNA". It matches the Rfam family "Bacterial large subunit ribosomal RNA", at positions 186 to 490 of the family's 2925-position model. The record is from RNAcentral. Lineage: Bacteria; Bacillati; Bacillota; Bacilli; Caryophanales; Listeriaceae.
CAGGGAACUGAAACAUCUAAGUACCUGGAGGAAGAGAAAGAAAAAUCGAUUUCCUGAGUAGCGGCGAGCGAAACGGAAAGAGCCCAAACCAAGAAGCUUGCUUCUUGGGGUUGUAGGACACUCUAUAUGGAGUUACAAAAGAAAGUUAUAAAUGAAGCGGUCUGGAAAGGCCCGCCAAAGACGGUAACAGCCCGGUAGUUGAAAUGGCUUUCCCUCCAGAGUGGAUCCUGAGUACGGCGGAACACGUGAAAUUCCGUCGGAAUCCGGGAGGACCAUCUCCCAAGGCUAAAUACUCCCUAGUGACCGAUAG